UUCUACAGGCUUAACACAUGCAAGUCGAGGGGCAUCAGGAAGAAAGCUUGCUUUCUUUGCUGGCGACCGGCGCACGGGUGAGUAACACGUAUCCAACCUGCCCUUUACUCGGGGAUAGCCUUUCGAAAGAAAGAUUAAUACCCGAUGGCAUAAUGAUUCCGCAUGGUUUCAUUAUUAAAGGAUUCCGGUAAAGGAUGGGGAUGCGUUCCAUUAGGUUGUUGGUGAGGUAACGGCUCACCAAGCCUUCGAUGGAUAGGGGUUCUGAGAGGAAGGUCCCCCACAUUGGAACUGAGACACGGUCCAAACUCCUACGGGAGGCAGCAGUGAGGAAUAUUGGUCAAUGGGCGCUAGCCUGAACCAGCCAAGUAGCGUGAAGGAUGAAGGCUCUAUGGGUCGUAAACUUCUUUUAUAUAAGAAUAAAGUGCAGUAUGUAUACUGUUUUGUAUGUAUUAUAUGAAUAAGGAUCGGCUAACUCCGUGCCAGCAGCCGCGGUAAUACGGAGGAUCCGAGCGUUAUCCGGAUUUAUUGGGUUUAAAGGGAGCGUAGGUGGACUGGUAAGUCAGUUGUGAAAGUUUGCGGCUCAACCGUAAAAUUGCAGUUGAUACUGUCAGUCUUGAGUACAGUAGAGGUGGGCGGAAUUCGUGGUGUAGCGGUGAAAUGCUUAGAUAUCACGAAGAACUCCGAUUGCGAAGGCAGCUCACUGGACUGCAACUGACACUGAUGCUCGAAAGUGUGGGUAUCAAACAGGAUUAGAUACCCUGGUAGUCCACACAGUAAACGAUGAAUACUCGCUGUUUGCGAUAUACAGUAAGCGGCCAAGCGAAAGCAUUAAGUAUUCCACCUGGGGAGUACGCCGGCAACGGUGAAACUCAAAGGAAUUGACGGGGGCCCGCACAAGCGGAGGAACAUGUGGUUUAAUUCGAUGAUACGCGAGGAACCUUACCCGGGCUUAAAUUGCAGUGGAAUGAUGUGGAAACAUGUCAGUGAGCAAUCACCGCUGUGAAGGUGCUGCAUGGUUGUCGUCAGCUCGUGCCGUGAGGUGUCGGCUUAAGUGCCAUAACGAGCGCAACCCUUAUCUUUAGUUACUAACAGGUUAUGCUGAGGACUCUAGAGAGACUGCCGUCGUAAGAUGUGAGGAAGGUGGGGAUGACGUCAAAUCAGCACGGCCCUUACGUCCGGGGCUACACACGUGUUACAAUGGGGGGUACAGAAGGCAGCUAGCGGGUGACCGUAUGCUAAUCCCAAAAGCCUCUCUCAGUUCGGAUCGAAGUCUGCAACCCGACUUCGUGAAGCUGGAUUCGCUAGUAAUCGCGCAUCAGCCACGGCGCGGUGAAUACGUUCCCGGGCCUUGUACACACCGCCCGUCAAGCCAUGGGAGCCGGGGGUACCUGAAGUACGUAACCGCAAGGAUCGUCCUAGGGUAAAACUGGUGACUGGGGCUA
Molecule: ribosomal RNA, 1442 nt
Filed under: uncultured organism
Description: SSU rRNA
Rfam family: Bacterial small subunit ribosomal RNA
Source: RNAcentral